This 490-nucleotide ribosomal RNA is filed under the name uncultured bacterium. Its description in RNAcentral is "bacterial SSU rRNA". It matches the Rfam family "Bacterial small subunit ribosomal RNA", at positions 9 to 526 of the family's 1533-position model. The record is from RNAcentral.
GAGUUUGAUCAUGGCUCAGGAUGAACGCUGGCGGCGUGCCUAACACAUGCAAGUCGAGCGAUUUACUUCGGUAAAGAGCGGCGGACGGGUGAGUAACGCGUGGGUAACCUGCCUCAUACACAUGGAUAACGUACCGAAAGGUAUGCUAAUACAGGAUAAUAUAAGAGAUUCACAUGGAUUUCUUAUCAAAGCUCCGGCGGUAUGAGAUGGACCCGCGUCUGAUUAGCUAGUUGGUAAGGUAAUGGCUUACCAAGGCGACGAUCAGUAGCCGACCUGAGAGGGUGAUCGGCCACAUUGGAACUGAGACACGGUCCAAACUCCUACGGGAGGCAGCAGUGGGGAAUAUUGCACAAUGGGCGAAAGCCUGAUGCAGCAACGCCGCGUGAGUGAUGAAGGCCUUCGGGUCGUAAAACUCUGUCCUCAAGGAAGAUAAUGACGGUACUUGAAGAGGAAGCCCCGGCUAACUACGUGCCAGCAGCCGCGGUAAUAC